AAGCACUAGGUGUGGUCGAGUGAG
This 24-nucleotide non-coding RNA is filed under the name Arabidopsis thaliana (thale cress). Lineage: Eukaryota; Viridiplantae; Streptophyta; Magnoliopsida; Brassicales; Brassicaceae. The record is from RNAcentral.